This 359-nucleotide ribosomal RNA is filed under the name Rutylapa ruficornis. RNAcentral describes it as "partial 12S ribosomal RNA". The record is from RNAcentral. Lineage: Eukaryota; Metazoa; Arthropoda; Insecta; Diptera; Keroplatidae.
UUUUAUUAAAAAAUAAAAAAAAAUUUGAGUAGUAAUAGUUAUUUUCUUGAAACUUAAAAAAUUUGGCGGUAUUUUAAUCUAUUCAGAGGAACUUGUUUUAUAAUUGAUGAUCCUCAUUUUAUCUUACUUAAUUUUGUUUAAUUUGUAUAUCGUUGUCAUAAGAAAAUCUUAAAAAAGAAAAAAUUUUCUAAUUUAAUUAAUAUUUUAUAUGUCAGAUCAAGGUGCAGUUUAUAAUUAAGUAAAAAUGAGUUACAAUUAAUAAUAUUAAUUAUGAAUAAUAAAUUUAAAAUUUUAUUUGAAGGAGGAUUUGAUAGUAAAAUUUAUUAGAAAAUAAUUUUGAUUAUAGCUCUAAAAUAUGC